CCAAGUGUUUAUGUGUUGGAGUAGUGGGGCAUUUUGGGAAAGAGAAGGACUGAGUGAGUAGUACCUCGGCUGGACUGUCCCUGUUGCGUUUUGGUACGAAGAGGAGGAAGAAGUGUGCAUGGAAAAGGAGAGAAGAAGAAGAGGGAAGGAAAGGGGAGAGGUUCAGGGGUGACAGGAGGAUGGCUUCAUGGCUUUCCCUGCGCUGAAUCUCCACACCCGCCUUUCUCUUCUUUUUCUGUUUUGCCUGAUUCAGCUGAGCGAGUGAAGCAGACAAGAGGAGUUUGAAGACUGAAAAAGAGAGAAAUCAAGCCAAUUUUCUUCUUUCUGUUUUUUAAAGCUGGGAUUUUGGCUGCCUUACAAACAGAUGUUGCUUGUCAUUUGCUUGGGUAGCAGCUUGUAGAGGCAGAAAGAUUACGUCCCGCUUAUUAUUAUUACCAAAGCGCGGUAAACCGAAAUUGUAAAAACACAAAAAAUCUGGUUUUCUGUUAUCGUUUACUUUUUCCCCUCCUUUUACUAUCUUCCCCCCUCACCAGUUUCUCUCCCUCAUCCUUCUUUUGCUUUUGUCUCACUCUUUCCCACCCUCUCUCGAGCUCCCUUUCCUUUUCUUUCGGGUGGUUUUGUUACUGUAGUUGUAUGUUUGAGCGUCUUUUUUGGUUUUUUUUUUUUUUUUUUUGUGGAUGGGCCACUGUGGACAUGCCUGCCUGUUUCCUUCUGCCAAGCACCAUAGGCCCUGCAGAGUAACGGAAAGACAAAUGUGGAGGCUAAACGUAACCACGAAUUGGAAGCAAGCUAGCAGAAGGAACGACAAGCGAAAGGGGGCAUCCUGGAUCCUGAAGGGGAGGGCCAGGUCAGGACAUGUCGAGGAAUGGUCCAUUAGCAUGAGACGGAUAUGACGCCCACACAGACACAAGCUGUCCAUAAACGUGCAUACACACAUUCAUGGGGUAAAAAUGAUAUCUUGACCAGGAUUACUCACAGAUGUGCUGUACAUGCUGACAUAUUGAGUUAAGUCUUGCGUUUUGUGUCUUGUGGCCCUAAAGCUGAAGUGUUAUGAAAAAUUCCAAGAGAAGUUUUGGAUCAAUUUUUUGUUUUAUUAAUAAAAUUAAUUAUUACUAAAAAUGUUGUCAUCCUUGUAUUAUUUCAAAAUGUGCAGAACUUUUUUUAAUAUUUAGGUUAUUAGGUCGAAAAUCUCAAAUGUUUGCUCUGAGAUGCAAUGACUCACCAUGCUAACUGUUCAAGGUUUUUCAAUAAAGUUGGGCAUAAUAUAAAAUCACUCCAUGCUAGCAAUGCAGGUUUUUUUUCCCAUUUUCUUAAUGCAAACAGAUUAACACUCAGUGCAAACUUACAAUGCAUGGUAAACUCAAUUGCACUUUUGUUUAACAACAUAGCUUCAAAACAACAUAGCUCCUUAAAAUCAAAGCUCUUAUUUCAAAUCUUAUGCUAAUGCUAGUUUUAUGCUAAUGCCUUUGUGCCAUAUUUAAUGCUAGCACUUAACCAUACAGUUCUUUAAGCAUGCACUAAAUGCUGACAAGCUACAUGCGCUUUGGUUUGCUAAGUGCUAACUUGUGUAUUAAAUGAUUUAUGCUAACAUUUAAUCAUGCUAGCACUAACAUUGAAGUAAUUGCUGUAGUCACACUUACGCCCAUUACAUUAAGGUUUUGUAAUGUUUUCUAUUUGCUAUGCUUACAUUUAGGCACACUAUGAUUUAGCACAAUUAUACUGUGGCAGCUACUGACACUUCUUAACUUUGUUCAACAUUACGUGGUGAGGUUAGCUAAAGAUUUUUUGCCACUUAAAGGAACUUAAUGGGAGUUCAUGCUAACACUCAUAUGUUUAACGGAUUUACUUUAUGUACACUUGGUAUACAAAAGCGUUCUUUGCAAAAAAAUAAAUAAAUAAAUCAAUGUAAGAAAUACCCUAUGGUAAGUGAUUGACAUUUUAAAACUAGCUAUCAUGCAGUGUGAUAGAAUGCUAACAUUGAAGCAUAUGCUGUUUUUUUGAUAGUUUUGACCAGUGGUUCCCAAAGCUUUGCAGCAAGACAAAGCUAGGAAACACCGGCUGAUAACUUCAGCACUACAGUUCAUUGAUACCACCUCAGAUGCGGUUGCAGUUUAAGUCCAAGACACUGUCCCAGAGUACCCACUGCUAAGCAAGAGAGCCCUGGCCACAUUUAGGACUUAUGCCCUACCUGUGACUGAGAGCAGCUGUCUCGUAGCUGCACCCACACUCAAAAAGAUCCAUAGCACAAAACAAGCCCACAGUAGUCACAGAAAUUAUUGCAGGACUGGUGGUAGAAAUCUUUUUUCAGGGAAUCGUUCAUCUUCAGAGAGUCAUAUUAUUAAAACUCUGGGGCAAUGGUUGUUGUUUUUUUGUUUGUUUGUUUGUUUUUUUCCAAAAUUAUGAGGUUGUAUGUUUUGCUAAAUGUGGAAAAAGGGAAUGAUGAGCAAAAAUCAUGUCUGACAGUGUGUUUGUUACACUGUCUUAUAUGUUUGCAUGUUGAUGCGUACAGUAAGGGGUUAUCUGCCAAAGGGGGCCCGCUAAGAAAAGUUUGGGAACUUCUGGUUUAGACUGAUGUGCUCCAUGCCAACAAUUUGCAAAACAUAAAGCACAGGUGCACGAGCACUCUGUGAUAGCAGAUAUGGUGUUAUACGUUACUAUAACAUUUACAUAUUGUACAAUGCUACAGCUGAUCAUGCUAACACUGGUAUUUGCAUUGCUGACACUUAUUUCUAUUUAUUCUUUAUGCUAAAACUUGAACAUACAUCUAUUUGACAAAGUUGAAUUGUCAGUUUAAACCUACAAACACUGAAAUACUAUAGUAUGUGACAACACAACAUCAUGUAGCAAAAGUAUUCUGUGUCACUUUCAGUAUAGUUUGUAUGCUAAGUUAUUCAAAGGUGUAUGCUAACACAUAAAUAUUUUACAGUGAUGUAGCAGAUCAUGCUAACACUGGCAUAUUUUUUUUUAUUUUGUCUUGCUAACACUUUAGCAAAGUCAGUUAAAGUAUCUUUAUUUUAUGAAAGCUCUAUUUGCUAAAACACUCAUAGAUGCUCCUGAUUUGAAGGUUUCUGCUAGCAUGUUAAGCACUGUAAUAGCAUGCUAAUGGAGUAUUUGUGACAUGUUUUUAACAACUCCGUUUUUGUGUGCCAAUGCAAUCUGUGCAUUCAGCACAACAGCUAGCACUAGCCUAGCAUUGAAAUACCAAGAUAACAUUAUUAUUUUAUGAUUCAGCAAGGCCAAUUCUCUUUUACUUGCAGGUUUGGAUUAAUGUGCUCAAUAUUUACAUUGAUAUUAAAGACUUAAUACCUCUUCUAUCACUUAAUUCAAGGACACAAUGUUUAAUUGAUGCUAGCACUUCAUAUGCUCUGUGCUAAGUGAAAAAACAUGUUAGCUAUUAUGGACAGCAAAUAAUUUUUAGGUGUCUGGUUAACCUUUUAGGUUUUCUUUCAUUGCAGCACAAUAGCACAGUCAGUAAAUAAAACUUAACUAUUUGAAUGUGCAUUCUAAGCCUACAGUUAAUUUCAGGUUAUACUUUUGUAAAUAAGAUAUGGUUCUAUGUUAACACUUGAGAAAGUUUACGUCCUCCUCCUAUGCAACUAACAUAAGCCUACUUCUGAUUAAAGUAGUAGAAAUGUUGUCUAUGGAAACUUGCCUCUGACAUGUUCUACAGGGCUGCAGAUUAUAAAUCCACAGCAUUCAUUCCUGGAGUUUUUCAGUGAUGAAGUGUCAAAUCUUUGUGGUGUCCAUUCAACCUCAACCUGCUUCCUCUUCCUGAGUGAUUCAGCACAUUUCCAAGAAUGGCUUUCAACACCGGGAGCGUUCUUGUCUGGACUUGUCAGAUCCAGAUUUGGGUUUACUUGGGAUAAAGUGAUAAUGAAAGGAAUACUGGCACACAUAGCAGAUGUGAUGCAGCAGCGUGGUUUGUACAUGCUAUGAAGUUUAAUUGCAGGAAAGCUAAGUCAUGUCCUGUCAUCAGAAAACAUGUCCUACAGAAGUCAAUUCUAAGAAGAGCCUGGCUUUAAUGUGCCUCGUUUAUGUCUACUUUAAUAUUGUUAUAACUAUAUUUUACAUUUGUUUUAAUCAGUUUUUUAAAAUCAUGAAAACUGUGUUUUGAUCAGUGUUUUAAAUGUGCCACCUUAUUUAAAUGUAUUUUUGCACUGAGCUUUCAAUGACAGUUGUUUUUCUUUGUAUGCAAAAAUAAAGAGUAAGUUCUAUUUGAUUUAAUUUUCCUCCAGGUAAUUCAAACCACUGAAGAAGAAACUGACUUUGCAUAUUUGAGUUUUUUUAUUCAUUAUAUUAUGUAAUUUUCCCUUGUCAAAUAUAAAACAACCUAAUUUAACUCUUAUAUCAUCUUUAAGGAUUGAAUUAAUUAGUUUCUCUAAAACAUGGAGUUUGACUAAAGAUAUCUGGCCUAUAUAGAACAUAGAAUUAGUGAAAUGGAGCAGAUUUUGUUACCUAAUUGCAUCAAAUUUGCAAAUUGCACCGAGUACUAUACCCAUUGUUGAGACUCUUAUUUAUUCUGUGUAUUUAUGCAAAUGCAUCAUUGUAUGAUUAUUGAAAAUAACUGGAAAUACAAGACAAGGUCUGGAAAUUAAAAUGCCCAGAUAAUACAUUUGGAAUUUAAGUUGAGUGCUUAAAUUGGCUCGCUGUAGGUUUUAGGAUUGAUUUAGGAUUUUUCUCAUCACUUUUAACCCCCUAUAAGCCUCAGAUCCUUGGGGCAGGGGCCUCCUGGUCGUUCCAAAGUCGAGACUCAAAACUAAAGGUGACAGGGCCUUCUCCCUCGGGACCCCUCAACUUUGGAAAGACCUGUCUGAGGAGAGAGGGCAUGCUGGAUUUGUGACAUCUUUUUAAUCACUUCUUAAAGGUCAUUUUUAUAGAUGUGCUUCUAUGCAACCUUGUGUUCUAUCUUUCACUUGUAUUUUAUUAUUAUUAAUAUUUUACAGUUUCUAGCUUUCUCAUUUUUGUUCUCUGAUUUAUUGAUCCCAACACAUUUUAAUUGCUUUUAUUUUAUUCAUUCUGUUUUGAUUUUUAUUCUAUUCUGUCUCUUCCUAAUGUUUUAUAAGUUCUUACAUCUCUGGUCCUCAGGUUUCUGUUUGUGUAGUUGGGUUCCUGUGUUUCCUGGAUUCGUCUAGGUUAUUCUGGAUUUUUAUUAUGUCUUUCUAAGUUGAUAUGUCCUUGGGUUUUAUAAUAUGUCUGCUGGGUUAUUAUGGCGUUGGGGUUCAUUACUAGCUGAACUUUUCAUAGGUCCUUCUGUUGUUGGGGCUUUGUCUUUCUUGUGUUCGUAUGCUUGUGUGAUGAUUUUUUGUCUUAAUUGGGAUGUUUCUUAUUGUCGGAGCACUUUGGAAUCCUGUUUUUAAAGGUGCUAUGCAAAUAAAGUUAUUAAGUUCUUUAGUUUUCCAUUUUUCAGUAUGUUAAUCAUUUCUGACUGAAAUAAUUACAUUUAGAGCCAUGUGUUCAA
This is a long non-coding RNA of Cheilinus undulatus (humphead wrasse), 5458 nucleotides long. RefSeq lists it as uncharacterized. NCBI's taxonomy places the organism in Eukaryota, Metazoa, Chordata, Actinopteri, Labriformes, Labridae. The record is from RefSeq and is a predicted model, not a curated record. The transcript has 3 exons.